UCCCUGUGGACUUCCAAAAGCACUUCGGUU
Molecule: non-coding RNA, 30 nt
Filed under: Macaca fascicularis (crab-eating macaque)
Lineage: Eukaryota; Metazoa; Chordata; Mammalia; Primates; Cercopithecidae
Also listed under: 1 other name
Source: RNAcentral